GUUUUCCUGUGGCUCAGCCAGUACAGCAUUGUGCUAACAAUGCAAAGGUUGUGGGCUCAAAUCCCAGGGAAAGCA
Non-coding RNA from Danionella cerebrum, 75 nucleotides. The record is from the annotation of a GenBank genome assembly. Lineage: Eukaryota; Metazoa; Chordata; Actinopteri; Cypriniformes; Danionidae.